GCUCCAAUAGCGUAUAUUAAAGUUGUUGCAGUUAAAAAGCUCGUAGUUGAAUUUCGGGGUCAGUAGGUCGGUCGUGCCACUGGUAUGAACUGGUUUUACUGAUUCCUCCCUCUUGAAGAACUGUAAUGCCAUUAAUUUGGUGUUGCAGGGAAUCAGGACUGUUACUUUGAAAAAAUUAGAGUGUUUAAAGCAGGCUUUAGCUUGAAUACAUUAGCAUGGAAUAAUGAAAUAGGACGUUUGAUCCUAUUUUGUUGGUUUCUAGGAUUGACGUAAUGAUUAAUAGGGAUAGUUGGGGGCAUUAGUAUUCAAUUGUCAGAGGUGAAAUUCUUGGAUUUAUUGAAGACUAACUACUGCGAAAGCAUUUGCCAAGGAUGUUUUCAUUAAUCAAGAACGAAAGUUAGGGGAUCGAAGACGAUCAGAUACCGUCGUAGUCUUAACCAUAAACUAUGCCGACUAGGGAUUGGAUGAUGUUAAUUUUUUAAUGACUCAUUC
RNAcentral lists this ribosomal RNA (492 nucleotides) under uncultured Glomus. RNAcentral's name for it is "SSU rRNA". It matches the Rfam family "Eukaryotic small subunit ribosomal RNA", at positions 588 to 1081 of the family's 1831-position model. Lineage: Eukaryota; Fungi; Glomeromycota; Glomeromycetes; Glomerales; Glomeraceae. The record is from RNAcentral.